UGGGGAAUUUUGGACAAUGGGCGAAAGCCUGAUCCAGCAAUGCCGCGUGUGUGAAGAAGGCCUUCGGGUUGUAAAGCACUUUUGUCCGGAAAGAAAUCCUUGGCUCUAAUACAGUCGGGGGAUGACGGUACCGGAAGAAUAAGCACCGGCUAACUACGUGCCAGCAGCCGCGGUAAUACGUAGGGUGCAAGCGUUAAUCGGAAUUACUGGGCGUAAGCGUGCGCAGGCGGUUUGCUAAGACCGAUGUGAAAUCCCCGGGCUCAACCUGGGAACUGCAUUGGUGACUGGCAGGCUAGAGUAUGGCAGAGGGGGGUAGAAUUCCACGUGUAGCAGUGAAAUGCGUAGAGAUGUGGAGGAAUACCGAUGGCGAAGGCAGCCCCCUGGGCCAAUACUGACGCUCAUGCACGAAAGCGUGGGGAGCAAACAGGAUUAGAUACCCUGGUAGUCCACGCCCUAAACGAUGUCAACUAGUUGUUGGGGAUUCAUUUCCUAGUAACGUAGCUAACGCGUGAAGUUGACCGCCUGGGGAGUACGGUCGCAAGAUUAAAACUCAAAUGAAUUGACGGGGUCAUAGCUGUUUCCU
Molecule: ribosomal RNA, 583 nt
Filed under: uncultured bacterium
Lineage: Bacteria
Description: partial 16S ribosomal RNA
Rfam family: Bacterial small subunit ribosomal RNA
Source: RNAcentral